UGGGGAAUAUUGGACAAUGGGCGCAAGCCUGAUGCAGCCAUGCCGCGUGUAUGAAGAAGGCCUUCGGGUUGUAAAGUACUUUCAGCGGGGAGGAAGGUGUUGUGGUUAAUAACCACAGCAAUUGACGUUACCCGCAGAAGAAGCACCGGCUAACUCCGUGCCAGCAGCCGCGGUAAUACGGAGGGUGCAAGCGUUAAUCGGAAUUACUGGGCGUAAAGCGCACGCAGGCGGUCUGUCAAGUCGGAUGUGAAAUCCCCGGGCUCAACCUGGGAACUGCAUCCGAAACUGGCAGGCUUGAGUCUUGUAGAGGGGGGUAGAAUUCCAGGUGUAGCGGUGAAAUGCGUAGAGAUCUGGAGGAAUACCGGUGGCGAAGGCGGCCCCCUGGACAAAGACUGACGCUCAGGUGCGAAAGCGUGGGGAGCAAACA
RNAcentral lists this ribosomal RNA (427 nucleotides) under uncultured bacterium. Its description in RNAcentral is "partial 16S ribosomal RNA". It matches the Rfam family "Bacterial small subunit ribosomal RNA", at positions 355 to 774 of the family's 1533-position model. The record is from RNAcentral.